Molecule: long non-coding RNA, 7789 nt
Organism: Aquila chrysaetos chrysaetos
Lineage: Eukaryota; Metazoa; Chordata; Aves; Accipitriformes; Accipitridae
Exons: 3
Source: RefSeq, a predicted model, not a curated record
AUAUUUGUGUGUGAGGGGGGAUUCAAGUCUUGACUAAACCAGACAAAUUCACUCAGAAGCAGCAGGGGUGGGAGAAAUUCUAGAGACUGACUGAGUAUAACAAUCCCCUCUCCUUGGAAGAGUUUGAAGACUAUUAUUCUGAGCACAGCUACAUGCCUCCUGAGUUGGGAAGAUUCCUGCUCCAUGCAUGUUCCCUGUCAAGGAGAGAAAUGCCCCAUGAUUCAUGCGCCACAUUUCUGGGAAAGGGAGGAGCAGUUGGAGGUAGCUUACUGUCUUUUUCACCCCGCUUCAUUUGCUCUAUCAAGCUGCAGGUAAGCUCAGGGCUUCUGGAAACUUUGGCUGCCUGUCAAAACAAACCUGAGGCACAGAAAAACAACAGCUUUUAACACUCAGUCCAGCGCAGAUUUAGGACAAAAAAUUCCAGUGUUUGUAUGAAACCGAAAAUAAACACGAAAGCUAUUUCCCCCAUAAAACUCACUUCAGCAGCAUUGGUAUUUUUAUGUCAAAAGGCUGAAGGAGAAGCUGGUGAAAGUCUGCCACAGGGAGGGAGGGGAAGGCAAAGGCAAAGAAGGAUGCUCUGCCAGAGGUUUUGCAGUUACUUGCUGGCAGUGUUCAUGCUUAGAUAUUGGGUCCAGGUGCCUUGGGGAAGGUGGUACUCAUCACUGGCUCCUUUACCUGUCUCCUCCUUUUCUACCCCUUCUCUCCCUGUUCUCUGCAGCCCCGUUGUGCUUUGUUCCUCCUCCUGCAAUCUGUGCUUUUGCCUCUUGCCAUCUCCCCACACUGCCAUUCAUUCCUCUGUCUCCUUCCUGCCCUGCUCCUUGCAUCCCUGCUGAGUUUUCAGCAGGUGACCUUGUUCCUCCCCGCAUGGCAUCAGAGGCUGCGGUUCUCUGGUGCCGGGCUCAGCUCUUCGCUGCAGGCUCCUCCUCACCCCUGCACUGUGACAGCAAUGCUGGUGGCGUGGUCGUGUGGUGAAGCGGUGCAGGGAGACAGAAAGGCAUUUGCUGGUCUGAUUCACCGGGCUGUCACGCAAACAGCACAUGCAGCCAUGUGGGCAGACUGCUGGAGGUGAUGCAAAGAGCAGCCAAGGCUUGCUUGCGCUGGCACUACCUCUGAAAUCAGGUUUUUAUCCCUGCCCCUUCUGUGCUGCCAGAGAGGCAUGAAGAGCACGGACACAAGUGAAGUGAUCUGACUGUUCUCCGUUCUUGCUUUGGUGGCACAGAUGCUCAGGAGAGACAGGUAUGGCGAAGGCUCUGCUCAUCUCUUCUGCAUGGGGCUGGUGCCCAGUGUGGAUGAGGAACUGAGCUGGAACGCUAACGCAUCUCUCUGCAGACACACAGGCAACGGGCAAAAGGCAUGCACUGGUGUGAGAACCCUACCAAAUUCCAAAUUUCAAGGCCCUGCUCCAAAGUAUUGUGUCACAAAAAUUUUUUAACAAAGUAAUUGGACACUGUUUUAAAUGGGCAAAUUAUAUACAUCCCCUGAGCCUUGUUUUCAGAAAUGCCUAACCAUUUCUAGAUGAACUAUGUUAGAACAUAAUAACCUAUCCUGAAGCAGACCUCCAGCAUGGAAAACGUCAAUCCAAGUGUUUAAUGCUUGGUAAGUAAAAUUAUAACCAGCUGAAAAACAGAGCUAUGUAUUGGAAAGUGCCAAGCAGCCUUAAUUUACGAGUCACUUUUUGCACAGACACUUCAGUUUUCCAGAAAAGAAAGGAAAGCCCAGCUGCCAACAAGUGCAUCAGUUUGGACAGAAGGAUGGAAAACUACAUUUUUGCUUUUCAUUUAUUGUGCAUUGAUAUCUCUUUUCAGGAUGCAUACAUACAUCUGGUGUUUCUUGUCUUAAAUGGGUAGUUGUAUAAAGUCUAGCAGAGGCCCAUGUUUUUGUCCCUCUUUUAACACAGUAAAAUUGUUUACAGUAUUGUCUUAGAAAUUGCUUAGUUCAGUGACCUUUUCCAGCACUGACUAGCUGCCAAAUAAUCAGUGCUUGAAAGACUCUGAACCUGAUUCUUCUCUCCUUUACACUGUUGGUUUUUUGUUGUUUGGUUUUGUUUUUUUUUUUUUUAUCUUGUCAUCAGCUGACUUCAUUGGAGCUACUCAUUCCCUACAGGCUUGGUCUAACCAGAAGAAAUAUAUAUACAUAUAUAUGUAUUUCUGUAUAUAUACAGAAUAUGUAUACAUAUAUAGAGAGAAAUUAUAUAGAAUAGAAAUUAAAUCAUAGUAACUGGUGGGUUUCGGUUUUACUUGACAUUGUGCACACGUGCUAAGAUUGCUAGUCUCCUGAAGCGUACUUGUAAGCACCUUUUCCCUAAAGAAUACCUCUGCAGGUGUUCUUUAGAGUUUUGUGUGACUUGCUGUUAGCUGUAAAUUUUCCCAUCUGCACCAGUUAGAGAACCAGACCAAAAUCUUUGUUAUAAGAACACUAAACCUUUUCUUUUUGUAGGCAGUACAAGAUAUGAUCCUGGUUUGAGGUCUGAGAACUGGCAGCUCAGGUGAAACACAUGCUCUAAUCACUCACAGCUUAGGCUUGACACUUUAGCAUUAAGUCGAAGCAGUGUCCUUUCCUACUAUUAAGCUUAGUAACAGAUGUGAUCAGUUUUGGAAUGACUGUAGCAAAUCAUCGCAGUUUUCCACGCUCUACACCAUGUGCUGCAUGUGCUUAUAUUUGACAGGUGAGAAUGAUACCACUUUGCAUUUUUAUUUAAGGUUUUAACCCAAAGACUUCAAGGCCUUUUACAAAAAAAGCUGAGAAUGACUACACACUUUUGCAUGUGGAUGGUCAGAGACUUCAGAUGGUUCACCUGGAGUCCACACUAUAGUUCUGAGGUCUUACAGCUUGUGACUCUGAGAGUGAAUUGAUCCUGAGUAAAAAUCUUUACCCAUUGACGUUGGAUUGCUGGCCCGUGGUGGCAGGGAAAUGCUGCUUGGUGAAGGCACAUUAAGGAGGUGUAACCUGAGGUUAGUAAGGUUAUAUUAUCCCAAAUAUUAACUCAGCUGUGCCUUAUGGCAAGGCUUAGACUGGUGCUGAAUUAAAAUGACAGCAAGCAAUGAAAUGGUGUCAUUUUUCCGUCACCUUUCAGAAUGAUUCCUUUUAAGUCCUCUUAGAUAAAUAGUUUGGUAAUCUGCCAUCUUCAUUUCUUCCCUGCCUUCGCUCCUGUCUUUUGUCUCCAUCUGUUCAUCACAAGCUGGACGCUUCUCAUCGUGACAUCUUGCCAAACCACCAUCCUCUUUCUUGAAGACCUUUUGCUCGCUGGUCUUCCCACCUACUCUGACCUUCAUCAGGCUCCACCCUUCUCCAAUCCCAUCAUAUGCGUUCUUUUCUUGGCAUCGGCUGCUCUCUGCAUCCUCUUUCUACUCCACCAAAUCCAUGUUGUUUCUUACUAGAUCAAGUGGUGUUCAGAGCUCUUACUGACUCCGUUUUUUUUUCUAGGUUGCAGGUAGGAUUGGUGUGGUGCCAGAGACUUGAACAAGGGUCUUCAGCAGACAUUCCACCUCUCUGUUUUGAAACUGAUCCUGGAAGUCUUUAAGAUUAAUGUAGGAUCGUUUCCAUCACUCCCUUAACAAAUGCAGUACUUCUGACUAGCCUGCUGCCUCUAUGCUUUGACUGUAUCUGAUUACCAUCCCCAGCUUACCCUUAAUAAAAUCCCAAGCUGCCCUGGCUGCAGCUGGUGGGGUGUGAUAGAGGUGACAAAAUUAAUUUACAGGAGGAGAAGCAAGCAGUGGCAGGGACCCCUGCAUAGAGAUACCAUUAUUUUCCUCCCUCAGCCUAAGAAACAAUAGAAAAAGAGAAUGCUGCAGCUGGGCACUGGAGUAUGUAUCCGUAGAUGGUGGAUUGCCUUGCAUACUCCCUUCGAUACUUUUUUUUAUAAAGGGGCAUUUUGUGCUCCUCUGAUAUUUGAUGUGGCCAGAUCCCAGAGAGGAAUGCCAGCCACUGUCACACGUCUACUACAUCUGUUGCUUCGUUUGCAUGUCCUUGUGGGAUAAAUCCAGCCUCUCUGCAAAGCACCAGUGUUCCACACAUCAGCUCUAUUUUACAGAUUUCAGUUGUUAAGAAAAUGCUGUUGCAAUCCCUUCCCACAUCAUCUGUGAGCUGACCCUUUGGGGUGGUCUAAGUCCAGCUCAGUGGCAGCUCACCUCCUGGGGGCAUCUGCAUCCCACCCCCCCUUCAUUAGCUUUACAGUGAGAUGUGCCCAUUGUCAUAAUCAAAGUUUGUGUCUGAAAAAUGUUAAUAGCUGGGUAUAUACCACAUGCCAUACAUUAUCAACGCUAUUUUUUAAUGAAGAGCUCUUUUCUGACAGCACAAGGGACUCUGUGAAAGGUUCAAGAUCCAGAAAUGUUGGGGAGUAAAACAUGAAGCAAAAUUUGGCAGCCUGCAAAUUAUUUAUUACGUGGGAGCCAAAGAAGCGCGGACUUUCACUGAAUCACUGCAGCCUAGAAAUGUGGUCCUGCCUGCUUUCUUAGCCUUUGCCAGGUCUCCUUGCCUAACUGUUAGCUGAGAGCGGUGGGCACCGUGCCCUUACUGGGAAGAAUCUUUCUCUGAUAAGUGUACCAGGGCCUCAAGACAAACAUAUGUCCUUAAAAGCUUUUCCCCUGAAAAUUGUUGUUUUAUUUCCCUGGUUGGUCAAAGCUGCUAACAAAGAUGAUUUGAUUUGUCCUUGCAGAAUAACUUCAGACCUCCUUCCCAAGGAGGCUGCAGUUGUAAUUUGUGAUUAAGGUAUUGCAGUGUUCCUGGCAGAACCAGAGGUCCAUGGGAUUGCGGGGGGAUAAGAGUUUGUGACUGACUUGAAGUAUAUAUAAUAUCUGACUAUAAUCUUUGGGGUAAAAUACAUCUGCGUCACUUCAAGUUCUCAGGCCAGAUCCCAAGUUUGUAUUUGUUUCCUUCCGAAAUAAACCUCGGGUCAGGUUCUUCCCAAAGCUAUGCUUCAGCACUGUUUAUUGCAACAUCAAGCUUUCAGACAGACAUUGUUAGUCUCAUGUUGGUUGAAGAGGUAUUUACAGGAAAUCUAAAGCAACUUUAUUUCCCCAGGGUUCCACACUAAGGAUGUCAGAUUCGGAGCUUUCCAAGGAAGCUGCUGCCUUAAAAUACACCAAGAGAAUUCCUAUUGUUCAAGUGACAUAAUGAGGCUGAGAUGCAAAUGCAGAGGGAAGCAGUAGCUGGUAUGUUUUGACUGAUUCUUUUUUUUCCUGACACCUUUUUUCUUUUUCUUUUUCUUUUUUUUAAAUAAUAUGUUUUACUGGGGAGAAUAGAGGAAGAUCAGCGGCCAGCUUCUGACUGGUAAAGUUGGGAUGUACAGCCUGCACAGAGGGUGAACGUGACUUAACGCCUACAUCUGACAGGAACUGAUUUAGACAGUUUCUCUAUCUCUGCAGAAGGCUGCACUGCAGUAUUAAAUAUCGGUGCCUGAUUAGUUCCCCCCUCCCCCUUUCUCGAAGGAGGAGAGGAGGAACAAACAGAAGUUAAUAGCUGGUGGCCAGUGCAUUCACCGUAGCUUUAUAAGCACUGAAUUGAAGUCCUUGCCCCAAAGUGUGUGGGUCGGUUCUGAUAUAAAACCAGGUCCCCUUUGCAGACCAUAAGCAUUGCACUGUGGGGAGGGGGAGCUGCUAUAAGCAUCACCCCAACCAGAAAUUCUGCUGAGGACCACAGCAACACAUCUGAGUCAAGCUUCAUUGAACCCAGCAGAUCCUCACAGACUGUUUGAAUGAAUCAGCGUUUACCAGCAUCAGGCUAAAUUUUGUUGUUGAAAGUCCUACUUGCAUCAAGUGUAGUCAGAAGGGGGGCAGCUGGUACAGCCCUGGAAAUGAAGAUGCCUCAGGUCCAUGCCCAGUUCUGCCACCAGCCUUCUCCUACAGCCCCUUUCCUACAACGUCAUUUCACUUUUUGUCCUUCAAGUUACCCCCAUCCUGUGUAAAAUAAGAGGACUAUGAAAGACCUAGAAGUUGUCUGUCAAAAGUAUUAUUUUGUCAACUAAAGAAGCCAUGGCAACAUAAAGCUACAACAGUUUCCAUCACAAGACUAAUUUGAGUCAGUUACUGCCUUUGAAACAUCUGUGGUGUGGGCUAAAAGUAGACUUUUCUACCAGAAUUGAAGUACAUCGAAGGAGUCACAAAAAAUAUCCCAAAAUAGGGGGAGGAAAGAGGGAAUAUCAGAUUGGAGGGGGAACAAAAGAGUGCAACAACAGUUAUGAAAUGCCUCAACAGUUUCCCUGCUUUUGUUGUGGUCAUUCUUCUUCCAGCCAGACUGAUAUGUUUACUGGAUUCAUUGAAUUGUGAUAUAGUGACCAGAACCACUGUUGAGACUCUUGUUGUUAAGAUUCUUAAUACUAACAGCAUUCCUGCAAGGAAUUACCUGCACUUGGGGGUUUAUACCACUGCUUCCUUCUGUAGGGAGUGGAACGUUGUAGGAGUCUUAUCUGAGGGCUUUAUCCAGAUGUGUACCAGUUCCUAUUUUGCCUUUAUCCUACGUUAUGCUAACUUCUAUCCUCCCUGCAUUCCUCCCUGUUAUAGGAAUGCAUCUAUUUACAGAUUGGAAACGUGGGAAUAAGAUCACAAGAUUAUAUUUUACCUGGAAAAAUGCAAAUAUAUGUCCUGGAGGGGGAAAAACUUGCUUCUCUAUGAGAGAGAUUUGAGACAUCUGAAAUAGCUGAGAUGUAGUGGGGAACAUUCAGACAUGACUUUGUGAUGUGACUAGCAAAAUAGGCCAGUCUGGGGCCUGCCUGUAUGAAGGCAGCAUGCCCUUGGACACAUCACACUUGCUUGGAUCUGUAAACUGCACAAAGGAUUUUUAUUAAAGGAACGCAUUUCUACAACACUUUUCACUUGAUUAUCUCAGAGUGCUUUAGUAGGCUCAGAAGAUGCUGGGGAACAAUCGACACAGAAGCUGCGCUGUAAAUCUCGCAGCAUUUAUUUCUAUGGAAGUCAUCUUUUCUUACUCCCUUUUUAUUCAGACAGCAAAAGGAAAAGAACAACAAGAUGAAGGCAAAGGCUGAGGCUCACGCCCAAUGUUUUUCUCUAUCAUUUUUGCCAAAGAAAAGAAGAAAAGAAACAAACACCAUUGCAUGUAAAUAAUCUUUUUUCUUUUCCUUGCCUGCUUCUAGACACGCUUUCAUUGGUUCACUGUAAUUAGGCAGAAAGUACUGAAAUGAUUUAUAUGUCAGACCUAACAGACAAUAUUGUAAUCGUACCAUUCUUUUAAUAGAUACGUCAACUUCUGAAAGCUUCGACUCAAAACCUUUAUUUCAAAUGCACGCAUACUUCUGCAAAUUUCAGAAGUAAUUGCCAGUUUCAUGGUUUGUACCUGAUAUGAGGUUGAGCUAAAGCCAGGAUUUGAAAGUUUGGAAAAACACGGCUCCAGAUUUUUUAGUCAAAGGCCAUCUGAGAUAAUGAGCAAGAAGAAAGGAAGAGUGUUAAUGUUUUAUGGGUCAGGUGUGCAGGGGUGCGAUAUACUCGGUGCUUUUAAGAUAUGCCAGAAAGUCUAAUCCCAAGGCCAGGAAGGCAACCCAGCAAGCAGAGGAAUUUGGAUGAUAAAAGAAAGUAUCAACACAAAUUGAUGACUGCUGUAGUUAGGGUGUGCCUUAAGGGGAGUUUAAAACCCCCUUAAAGAGAAAUAAAGACUGUGCAGUGUUGUCAGGAGAUCAUUGUCUGAGGGAUGGUUUAUGUGCAGCCUUGAAGGAGGAUGGGGAAUCGUUGUGGCUCCUGUACACACGCGCCAGCGCUGUGGCUGUGCCAGGACCGCUGGGCUCAUCCUGGCUGGCACCCACGCAGCCGCCCGCAGUAAGUGCUGCUGUUUCAGUGCUCGA